Schizosaccharomyces pombe (fission yeast) is the source of this 695-nucleotide non-coding RNA. The record is from the annotation of a GenBank genome assembly. NCBI's taxonomy places the organism in Eukaryota, Fungi, Ascomycota, Schizosaccharomycetes, Schizosaccharomycetales, Schizosaccharomycetaceae.
GAUCAAACUGUAAUUUACUUAUCUGAAUAUUUUAGAGAUAAGAUUCAGUAAAUCAAGUUUAAAACUAAUUACUGUCACUCACUCAAUAUGUGCAAAACUGAGUUUACUGACCAGGAAUUGACUUUUUUUUUUUAUUUAUCAAGGAAAUAUUAAUUGAGUUAUCAAUCCCAAAGGAAAAUAUGUGAAAAUAUUUAAACACUCGCCAAAUUAUAUUAAUUGAUCUUUAUAUCAAUAAAUGCUUUACUCUAGAAAAAAUCGGUUUCGGUAAUAUACUACAAAGGAACCUAAAUAGAUUUUGAAGCUUUAUACAUAUAAGAAAACAUUAAUUUUCUAAAAGAUACCAAAUGAUAAUUAACAAGGACGUCGAUUUUCGUUAUUUUGAACUUUCAACGAGAAAUGUCAGUGGAAGAUUCAACAUAUUUUCUAUGAGAUAAAUUAGAUAUAAUAACAUUUUGCUUUUGACAAUAACUGAGAAAAAUCAUAUUUAUACCUAGAUUUGUUGAGUGAUACGAAUUUCAUACAAUUUAAUGGGGGUAAACUGCGAUUAAAAUUACGUUUUGGUCCUUUGUAUUGUCUUAUUGAUAUGAAAUAUCAGACACGAAUAUUUUCAUACUAAGUGGUAAUAAUUAAUUUACAACUGACCUCGGAUUCUCUUUUCGUUUGAAAUUAAAAUAAUACUUAAUUAUUACAAUUGG